Molecule: unclassified non-coding RNA, 253 nt
Filed under: uncultured Pirellulaceae bacterium
Lineage: Bacteria; Pseudomonadati; Planctomycetota; Planctomycetia; Pirellulales; Pirellulaceae
Description: contains 16S-23S intergenic spacer region
Rfam family: Bacterial small subunit ribosomal RNA
Source: RNAcentral
CACGAACCGUGCGAACGUUAUUCGGAAUCACUGGGCUUAAAGAGUGCGUAGGCGGCCUGGAAGGUGGGGUGUGAAAGCCCUCGGCUCAACCGAGUAAUUUCGCUCCAAACCACUAGGCUCGAGGGAGAUAGAGGUGAGCGGAACUGAUGGUGGAGCGGUGAAAUGCGUUGAUAUCAUCAGGAACACCGGUGGCGAAAGCGGCUCACUGGGUCUCUUCUGACGCUGAGGCACGAAAGCUAGGGUAGCGAACGGG